UUCCCAGGUAUACCACCAAGUGGCGCUGUGGCCCCGUGAAACCAUUUUCCUGCGGAACGUCGUUUGUUUCCAUUGCACACCUGAUUUGGCCAAACAUCAGCUCUUCGCCCAUUUGGAAGGGAGAUAAACACGGCAGCCAAGUGGAGAGGAAGCUGAAUUGAGCUUGAAUAUCAAUCUCUCUGCGUCGGUGUCAUUGCCAGGUGACUUUGGCUGGAGUGGAGGUGCCUCACUAAGGUUCGACGUCCAGGUCCCCCAAAACAUCCUGGAAGGCCCUCACCUCCAAAAGACCUCACCUCCAAACAUACAGACUGGGCCAAAUAGAGAAGGCGUGGUUUGGACGGACACUGAUGCACAGACUCUGUCUGCUCGAAUGCACACCCAAGAUCAAACAGACCUGCCCACCAAAGCAAAGUGAGCACCCGGAUAAGGGCGAAAGAAAAGAGGGCCCGGUUGGAGCAGAAGAGAGACGCCGGCCGGCGCUGCUCUGCAGUCGAGAGGCGGGAGCGAAAAGGUCUGCUGAAGAAUUACCCGAUCAACAGGAAGUCUGGAGCACCGCAUGACCUGAUGUCGUCUGUUCGGAUGAGAGGCGAAACCGCAACAGUCCAGACGCGAUCGAUUCACCGCCCUGCGAAUGGAAUGAGGAAAUUCAGUGGCAAGACGAGACUCCGCCUGCCAGCUCCUCACAUCACUCCACCAAUCUGAUGAACUGUACCAACCUCAGAUUAACCUUCAACCUCCCCUUUGUCACUGGAGGUGAGCCACAC
Molecule: long non-coding RNA, 764 nt
Organism: Hippocampus comes (tiger tail seahorse)
Lineage: Eukaryota; Metazoa; Chordata; Actinopteri; Syngnathiformes; Syngnathidae
Exons: 7
Source: RefSeq, a predicted model, not a curated record